This 226-nucleotide long non-coding RNA is filed under the name Salvia miltiorrhiza (redroot sage). Its description in RNAcentral is "long non-coding RNA (SMIL_LNC003409)". Lineage: Eukaryota; Viridiplantae; Streptophyta; Magnoliopsida; Lamiales; Lamiaceae. The record is from RNAcentral.
CAGACUGCCGCCGCCGUUCCGCCCUCGACAAAACCCAGCCCCGACCCGGCUCAGAGCGGCAACAAGGCCCUUGCCUCGCCGCCCCUCCCUCAAAACUCCAGCCGACAGCAGCAGGAGAACCACCGCCGCCGACCGCAUCUGCCUCCCUCCACUCUCGACUCAAAUCAACAGCAAACGUUCAAACAACGACAAGCACAAACAAAGCUCAAGACUCAUUCUUUCUUCU